GCAUAUCAAUAAGCGGAGGAAAAGAAACCAACAGGGAUUGCUCUAGUAACGGCGAGUGAAGCAGCAAUAGCUCAAAUUUGAAAUCUGGCGUCUUCGACGCCCGAGUUGUAAUUUGUAGAGGAUGCUUCUGAGUAACCACCGACCUAAGUUCCUUGGAACAGGACGUCAUAGAGGGUGAGAAUCCCGUAUGCGGUCGGAAAGGUGCUCUAUACGUAGCUCCUUCGACGAGUCGAGCUGUUUGGGAAUGCAGCUCUAAAUGGGAGGUAAAUUUCUUCUAAAGCUAAAUAUUGGCCAGAGACCGAUAGCGCACAAGUAGAGUGAUCGAAAGAUGAAAAGCACUUUGGAAAGAGAGUUAAAAAGCACGUGAAAUUGUUAAAAGGGAAGGGAUUGCAACCAGACUUGCUCGCGGUGUUCCGCCGGUCUUCUGACCGGUCUACUCGCCGCGUUGCAGGCCAGCAUCGUCUGGUGCCGCUGGAUAAGACUUGAGGAAUGUAGCUCCCUCGGGAGUGUUAUAGCCUCUUGUGAUGCAGCGAGCGCCGGGCGAGGUCCGCGCUUCGGCUAGGAUGCUGGCGUAAUGGUCGUAAUCCGCCCGUCUUGAAACACGGACC
RNAcentral lists this ribosomal RNA (608 nucleotides) under uncultured fungus. RNAcentral describes it as "eukaryotic LSU rRNA". It matches the Rfam family "Eukaryotic large subunit ribosomal RNA", at positions 38 to 667 of the family's 3401-position model. Lineage: Eukaryota; Fungi. The record is from RNAcentral.